This 839-nucleotide long non-coding RNA is filed under the name Capsella rubella. RNAcentral's name for it is "long non-coding RNA (CRUB_LNC000063)". The record is from RNAcentral. Lineage: Eukaryota; Viridiplantae; Streptophyta; Magnoliopsida; Brassicales; Brassicaceae.
UGGGUUCUUAUCCCAUUUUGGACCAAAUUUCAGCAAGUCUUCCUACACACUUUUAAACACUCUUUAUCUAUCUCUAUUACUUGUAAUCAAUCAACUUCAUUGUAUUCUAACAAAUUCUAACCCCAAACAACAUUAAAUAAGUCAUUUAGUGGUUCAACGCAAAGUUUCCGAGUUUUUAGCCCAUUUGGGACCCAAUUUCAACAAGUCUUUCUCCACACUACUAAACACUCUUCAUGCACCUCUAACACUUCUAAUCAAUCAAAUUUAUUGUAUUCUAACAUAUUCUAACCCCAAACAACACUAGACAAGCCAUUUAAUUCUUCAAACCAAUGGUUGUGGGUUCUUAGCCCAUUUUGAACAAAAUUUCAGCAAGUCUUUCUACACACUUUUAAACACUCUUCAUGUAUCUCUAGCACUUGUAAUCAAUCAACUUCAUUUUAUUCUAACAUAUUCUAACCCCAAACAACACUAGAUAAGCAAUUUAGUGGUUCAACGCAAUGUUUCCUAGUUCUUACCACAUUAAGGACCUAAUUUCAACAAGUCUUUCUCUACACUUCUAAACACUCUUCAUGCACCUCUAGCACUUGUAAUUAAUCAAAUUUAUUGUAUUCUAACAUAUUCUAACCCCAAACAACAUUAGCCAAGCCAUUUAAAACUUCAAAGCAAUGGUUGUGGAUUCUUUUCUAUCACUUGUAAUCAAUCAACUUGAUUGUAUUCUAACAAAUUCUAACCCCAAAUAACACUAAAUAAGUCAUUUAGUGGUUCAACGCAAUGUUUCCGAGUUCUUAGCCCAUUUGGGACCCAAUUUCAACAAGUGUUUCUCCACACUUCGAAACACU